GGCACUGUAGCUUAGUGGUUAAAGCGCCUGUCUCGUAAACAGGAGAAUCCCAAGCUCAAACCUGGGCAAUGCCU
Molecule: transfer RNA, 74 nt
Filed under: Clytia hemisphaerica
Lineage: Eukaryota; Metazoa; Cnidaria; Hydrozoa; Leptothecata; Clytiidae
Description: tRNA-Thr for anticodon CGU
Rfam family: tRNA
About the family: Transfer RNA (tRNA) molecules are approximately 80 nucleotides in length. Their secondary structure includes four short double-helical elements and three loops (D, anti-codon, and T loops). Further hydrogen bonds mediate the characteristic L-shaped molecular structure. tRNAs have two regions of fundamental functional importance: the anti-codon, which is responsible for specific mRNA codon recognition, and the 3' end, to which the tRNAs corresponding amino acid is attached (by aminoacyl-tRNA synthetases). tRNAs cope with the degeneracy of the genetic code in two manners: having more than one tRNA (with a specific anti-codon) for a particular amino acid; and 'wobble' base-pairing, i.e. permitting non-standard base-pairing at the 3rd anti-codon position.
Source: Rfam by way of RNAcentral